RNAcentral lists this unclassified non-coding RNA (314 nucleotides) under Hevea brasiliensis (rubber tree). Lineage: Eukaryota; Viridiplantae; Streptophyta; Magnoliopsida; Malpighiales; Euphorbiaceae. The record is from RNAcentral.
UGGGACGAAGCUACACCAGCCGCGUCAUCCAGGCCUUCAAGGCGGAAGGCAUUCUGGAAACCCGCCGCGGCGCCAUCCUGAUCCGCAACCCGGACGCCCUGGCGGCCCGGUCAUGUCUUUGCAACGACGCCGUCAAAGCUCAUUUCGACGAAGUUCUGCGCGGGGUCUAUCCGGACGAGACGAAGGCGACGUGACCGAUCGAUCGAGCCCCGUCAUCGCUCUGUAACAAUGCUGGAUAGGGCCGAUGCGGCCCUUUGGGGCAUCAACCUUGACCCCAAAAUGGCCCGAUAAAAUGCCGUUCGGGCCGUUGUUUU